Molecule: long non-coding RNA, 576 nt
Organism: Magnolia sinica
Lineage: Eukaryota; Viridiplantae; Streptophyta; Magnoliopsida; Magnoliales; Magnoliaceae
Exons: 3
Source: RefSeq, a predicted model, not a curated record
UCCCUUGGAAAAUGCAUGGUGUACCCUAUUGUGAAGCUUAAUAUGGUGUUGUGGGCUGUGGCAUGGUUCGAUCCUGAGCCAAUUGAUCGUUACUUCACUAAACACCAAUCUAGUGUCUAGGGACAAGAACAUGUGGAGGAAGGGAUGCCAAUUGUUUGACAAAAUUCCCAAAGCCCAUGUUGCACAGGCAUGCACCUCUUAUGUGCAUGCUUUAUAUGCACAACACUAGCAAGCUUAAAACAUGCAUAUAUGGUUAUACAACGACUACCUUCAAGAAUGGUGUUAGGGCUGGUAUAUGCUAAGACGCGGAACCUUCUCACCCCAAUAACCAUGCAUGAAUGCUGGAACUUGGGUGUUGUCCUCAAGCUUACGUUUCUUCAAGUAAGUGAUUUGAUUUGCCAAUAAUACCAAACAAUUCAUUGGUCUUUUUCUUUUAUUUUUUGGUCUACUUAUUCCUACUUCUAAUGAGACUUUUGCUUUAAGUCUCUCAGAGGUUUUUUUUUUUUUUUUUCAAUGGCUUUUUAAAGAUACUCUUGGAUUUUUACUCGCACUACUUACUCACAAGCAUGGCGUCCA